RNAcentral lists this long non-coding RNA (593 nucleotides) under Ananas comosus (pineapple). Its description in RNAcentral is "long non-coding RNA (ACOM_LNC019828)". The record is from RNAcentral. Lineage: Eukaryota; Viridiplantae; Streptophyta; Magnoliopsida; Poales; Bromeliaceae.
UAAAAGCUCAAUGAGAUACAUAACAUGAUAGAGUCACUCUUAUACGUAUAAUACAUCAAAACAAUACGGCAUAUUUAUAAUUUACAUAAUUAACAAAAUCUGUCUAUUAGCCAAUAUGAAUUUUCAAUAACUUUGCUGCAUGGCAAUCUCUUCUUCACCCCCAUAUGCCUCUUCACUGAACUGAACCUCCCCUUCUCCUUACCCUUUAAUCGGCUCUCUCCACCCGAUGCGUUGCCACUCACUCUCCCUCCUCCACCUCAUCCUCCAUCAUCGUUUCAUAUACUCUCGCUCUCCUCGCUCAAUGAAUUGUCGUUUCCUCUCUCCUCUCCUUUGCUUCAUUUCCUCUCACCUUUCUGUUUCAUACGAUGGAUUCGUGUUUCACUGCCUAGAUCCUAAUCCAAAAUUAAUUAAACAGCAAUGCUCCCUGCUAUAUUAUCAUUAGCUCCCCUCUCCAACAUCCAUUGUGAUUUAUCCCUCUGAUACUAUUAUGUUAAUUUACCAUUACUGCAUUGUAGUUAAAUUUCCUCGAAAAUUUCCUUACCAUUCUCAUCCACAGCUGUCGCCACCGUCGUGAAUUGUAUCUAAGCAAAUUU